AAAAUAUCACUGUAUUUAUUUUCAUACACAUAAUGUUUCUACAGUGUCAACAUCUUCCUCUCAAAAGCAGAACAGAAGAAUCCCAAAGCUUAGAACUGGAUCACUUGACCCUUUUUCUUCUUAUAACCUCCCAGUUCAAAAUGCUUACAUCUCUUAACGGCCGGCAUCCUCUUGGGCCCGAAGCCUGUCAGCUAAAGUCUUAGUCAAGGCAUUUUCUGCUGAAAUCCAAGAUUCUGGAAAAGAAGAAGAAUAUGAUGAAAAAGCUCAACAAAUCUUAAUUGUUGCCUGGAGGUCAGGCCACGUGGAGAAUGUGGUAUUUAGCUUUGCCACAGACAAGCUCCCCCAAGGCUGCUGAGUGGCUGGAGACCGGUGGAGGUGUAAGAGGGUGGUGAGCAAACAGACAGCACUUUGCAUUUCCAAAGGGCUUUUCACAUGGUCUCCUUGGAACCUCACCUUGCGAGAAGACCCUAUUCCUUAUAUGUUACUGGUGAGACUGUUAAACUACAGAGAAGUUAAGGUACUUGUCCAAAGUGUCAAGUUAAGGAAAAGACAGGGCCAGAACUGGAAACUAUGUUUUCUCCACCCAAAUGCAGUGACUUUUAAUGGAGUUCAGUGGUAAAUGUGGUGACACCAACACUCGGUAGCAGAAGACUCAGUAGUACUAAAUUGGUGUGAUGGAAAAGUCUCAGACUCGGGAUGUCAAGCCGUGGGCUGAAAGCCAGCAGACUCCAAGGGGCUGUGCAGAAGACAGACAUGGUAAGCUAAUCACGGUACAUCGGAGGAUGUUUGUAUUUUGUAAGGCUUGAACCCACGGUGCAAUCGAAAGACAAAAUUCAUAUUGCUUGUGAUGGUUUGUAGUGCUUAGCAAAAUUCUCUGCUUUUCUUCCAUGUGGUUGAUAUUCCAUCCCCCCUAAAUACUUACACCCUCCACGCCAAACCCCAGUUCUUUACAAACUCAAAGCAAUGAAUCACUUAGGAAAACAUUUCGGAUAAACAUAGUCAGAUCUCUGUUUGGACUUCAUGCCGGAGAAAGUGAGCAGACCUUGACUGUUUCAUAUCGCUGCCCUCGAUGCCAAUAAGUCGACCGUUCGCAAUACUGCUUCUGGGCCCUCGUGUGGUUGCAACAGAGGAUAUAUGAAAAGAUUGAACAAAUAUCAUUGUUCUAUCCUCAGUCCUGUCCUCAAAGCUUUUGCAAACUUAAGCAAACUAUUUUUCAUGAUAUCCUCCACAAACUGUGGAAGUCUACUGAAACCGUUCCUGGUACUGAUACUUUGAGUUUGGAAGUUAAAAGGUAAAAGUCUGCAUUCCUUAAAAGUUUUGGUAAUGUAACUAAAAUAAAACAUAAGCCAAAAUGAAACCA
Molecule: long non-coding RNA, 1360 nt
Filed under: Felis catus (domestic cat)
Lineage: Eukaryota; Metazoa; Chordata; Mammalia; Carnivora; Felidae
Description: lncRNA (ENSFCAG00000053091.1)
Source: RNAcentral